RNAcentral lists this unclassified non-coding RNA (563 nucleotides) under Hevea brasiliensis (rubber tree). Lineage: Eukaryota; Viridiplantae; Streptophyta; Magnoliopsida; Malpighiales; Euphorbiaceae. The record is from RNAcentral.
CUCAAGUGCUAUCACAAUGAUUAUGUAAAGGGACUACUUUUUAUACUUUUUUUUUAUUUUUUUAUUUUUAAUUCUUUUCUUUUGGUCAAUUCUGAUGAUAGUCAUAUGCUUGAUCAAGUAUCUGUGUCCUGCAUUAUAUGUGGAGCAAAUAUUUCUUAUAAUUUCAGUUCAACUUAGGAUGCAUUUUUAAUGCUGACUCGAAUUCCUUUUUUUUCUUUUAAUUUGAUAAAUAUAUUACAAUUGUUAUUUAUUUAUUUUUUUUUGUCAAUCUGUUGUAACAGUGCAGACCUGGUGUCUAACUGAGCUGAACAGUGGAAAAGAUUAAGGCUUAGUUGUUAGUAUUGUUUCAUAACAAUACUCAUAUGUUCCUGUUGGACAUUCAUUUUUUUCCCUAAAUAUUUUGUCAAAUAGACUGCUUAUUUGAAAAAUGGUUAAUUGUGUUUGUGUUUUUAUUGUUUUAUAACAUGUUCCAGCUGAUUAAUUUUUUACUGAUUUAACAUAAUUAUUUUGCUGAUGAGUAAUUUGUUUUUGUGUUUCCAGUGACAGAGCUAUCCCUUCCUUGA